This 301-nucleotide ribosomal RNA is filed under the name uncultured bacterium. RNAcentral's name for it is "partial 16S ribosomal RNA". It matches the Rfam family "Bacterial small subunit ribosomal RNA", at positions 509 to 807 of the family's 1533-position model. The record is from RNAcentral.
CAGUAGCCGCGGUAAUACGGAGGGUGCAAGCGUUAAUCGGAAUUACUGGGCGUAAAGCGCACGCAGGCGGUCUGUCAAGUCAGAUGUGAAAUCCCCGGGCUUAACCUGGGAACUGCAUUUGAAACUGGCAGGCUAGAGUCUUGUAGAGGGGGGUAGAAUUCCAGGUGUAGCGGUGAAAUGCGUAGAGAUCUGGAGGAAUACCGGUGGCGAAGGCGGCCCCCUGGACAAAGACUGACGCUCAGGUGCGAAAGCGUGGGGAGCAAACAGGAUUAGAGACCCGCGUAGUCCCUGUCUCUUAUAC